RNAcentral lists this small nuclear RNA (141 nucleotides) under Saimiri boliviensis boliviensis (Bolivian squirrel monkey). RNAcentral describes it as "U4 spliceosomal RNA (ENSSBOG00000000362.1)". It matches the Rfam family "U4 spliceosomal RNA". Rfam says of the family: U4 small nuclear RNA (U4 snRNA) is a component of the major U2-dependent spliceosome. The structure of U4 snRNA from yeast and human has been reported. Lineage: Eukaryota; Metazoa; Chordata; Mammalia; Primates; Cebidae. The record is from Rfam by way of RNAcentral.
AGCUUUGCGUAGUGGCAGUAUCGUAGCCAAUGAGGUUUAUUUGAGGUGCGAUUAUUGCUAAUUGAAAACUUUUCCCAAUACCUUGCCAUGACAACUUGAAAUAUAGUCGGCAUUGGCAUUUUGUUACAGUUUCUACAGAGA